GUUUUUUAUUGGAGAGUUUGAUCCUGGCUCAGGACGAACGCUGGCGGCGUGCUUAACACAUGCAAGUCGAACGGAAAGGCCUCUUUCGGGGGGUACUCGAGUGGCGAACGGGUGAGUAACACGUGAGUAACCUGCCCUUGACUUUGGGAUAACUUCAGGAAACUGGGGCUAAUACCGGAUAGGAGCUCCUGCUGCAUGGUGGGGGUUGGAAAGUUUCGGCGGUUGGGGAUGGACUCGCGGCUUAUCAGCUUGUUGGUGGGGUAGUGGCUUACCAAGGCUUUGACGGGUAGCCGGCCUGAGAGGGUGACCGGCCACAUUGGGACUGAGAUACGGCCCAGACUCCUACGGGAGGCAGCAGUGGGGAAUAUUGCACAAUGGGUGGAAGCCUGAUGCAGCAACGCCGUGUGCGGGAUGACGGCCUUCGGGUUGUAAACCGCUUUCGCUCAUGACGAAGCUUUGUGUGACGGUAGUGGGUAAAGAAGCACCGGCUAACUACGUGCCAGCAGCCGCGGUGAUACGUAGGGUGCGAGCGUUGUCCGGAUUUAUUGGGCGUAAAGGGCUCGUAGGUGGUUGAUCGCGUCGGAAGUGUAAUCUUGGGGCUUAACCCUGAGCGUGCUUUUGAUACGGGUUGACUUGAGGAAGGUAGGGGAGAAUGGAAUUCCUGGUGGAGCGGUGGAAUGCGCAGAUAUCAGGAGGAACACCGGUGGCGAAGGCGGUUCUCUGGGCCUUUCCUGACGCUGAGGAGCGAAAGCGUGGGGAGCGAACAGGCUUAGAUACCCUGGUAGUCCACGCUGUAAACGGUGGGUACUAGGUGUGGGGUCCAUUCCACGGGUUCCGUGCCGUAGCUAACGCUUUAAGUACCCCGCCUGGGGAGUACGGCCGCAAGGCUAAAACUCAAAGGAAUUGACGGGGCCCCGCACAAGCGGCGGAGCAUGCGGAUUAAUUCGAUGCAACGCGAAGAACCUUACCUGGGUUUGACAUGGAUCAGGAGUGCUUAGAGAUGGGUGCGCCUCUUUUGGGGCUGGUUCACAGGUGGUGCAUGGCUGUCGUCAGCUCGUGUCGUGAGAUGUUGGGUUAAGUCCCGCAACGAGCGCAACCCUUGUUCACUGUUGCCAGCACGUUAUGGUGGGGACUCAGUGGAGACUGCCGGGGUCAACUCGGAGGAAGGUGGGGAUGACGUCAAGUCAUCAUGCCCCUUAUGUCCAGGGCUUCACGCAUGCUACAAUGGCUGGUACAAAGAGUUGCGAGCCUGUGAGGGUGAGCGAAUCUCGGAAAGCCGGUCUCAGUUCGGAUUGGGGUCUGCAACUCGACCUCAUGAAGUCGGAGUCGCUAGUAAUCGCAGAUCAGCAACGCUGCGGUGAAUACGUUCCCGGGGCUUGUACACACCGCCCGUCAAGUCAUGAAAGUUGGUAACACCCGAAGCCGGUGGCCUAACCUGUUGUGGGGGAGCCGUCGAAGGUGGGACUGGUGAUUAGGACUAAGUCGUAACAAGGUAGCCGUACCGGAAGGUGCGGCUGGAUCACCUCCUUUCUAAGGAG
This 1538-nucleotide ribosomal RNA is filed under the name Cutibacterium modestum. Its description in RNAcentral is "bacterial SSU rRNA". It matches the Rfam family "Bacterial small subunit ribosomal RNA". Lineage: Bacteria; Bacillati; Actinomycetota; Actinomycetes; Propionibacteriales; Propionibacteriaceae. The record is from RNAcentral.